Molecule: long non-coding RNA, 1110 nt
Organism: Suricata suricatta (meerkat)
Lineage: Eukaryota; Metazoa; Chordata; Mammalia; Carnivora; Herpestidae
Exons: 4
Source: RefSeq, a predicted model, not a curated record
GGAGAAAAUAAAAGAAAAAAGAAAAGAAAAGAGAAAAGAGAAGAAGAACACUAUUAUGAGCUUGGGGCCCGAGGCUCCACAUUUGACCCAUGAGACAAGAGACACUGAGCAGAGUUAAUCCAAAAUCACCCAGCUGCAGCUAGAAGUGGGGGAGCUGAGAUCUGACUCCACGUAAUCCCAGGCUCCGAGACCUUUGUUUCCGUUGUCACGUGUGCAGCUGUCUGCCGACAGCACUGAGGCCUUGAGGGCAGCUCCCGGAAUGAGGUGGCCUGGCUUCCUAUCCCAGCUCAACUCUCGAAUGGCAUGAUGAAUUCACCAAGACCCUGAGGGGCUGAUUCUCUGUGGCUCUUUUGGAGCAGAUGUGACCAAGAAAUCAAUACAGCCAUUAGAUUAAUCUGCAGCAACCAUAAUGUCAUUGCAUCUUUCGUCCUGUGAUGUUAACAGAGAUGUCAGAGCCAGGAGGAGAGGAGACACUUAAAAGAAGGAAGAUCCUCUGAAGUGAGGAGAAAAAUGAAAACCCCACGGAGACUCACUUAAUGGACAAGAGAUGGCAGGUGGCUGCCUCUGGUAUCAUCAGGUCUUCUUGCAGAGAAUGCAGUGACUUCGUUGCAGAAGAUAUUUGGCGAUGCCUGGAGACGGUGUUUGGCUGUCAUGACCUGUGGGUGUAUGCAUGUGUGACUAGCAUCUGGUAUGUAGAAGCCAGGGAUGCUACCCACUGUCCGACUGGGCACAGAAUAUCCCCCGCAACAAAGAUUUUUCCAGCCUGCAGUACUGACCAGACCAACGGUACUAAGACUGUGAAAGUCUGGUGGAGACAAGAGACUGAGCAGCCGGUGACUACAUUUCCCAGCAUCCCAAGGGGGCUACGUGUGGCCAGGUGACUGGGUCUCACCAAUGGAGUGUGGACAGGCCUGCUGUGCCCAUGCCUAUGUGCAAGGCUCCUCCCUCUCCCCUCCCUUCUCCCCGAAUCCCCUACCCCUUCCUCUCUCCCGGGAUGGAUGAAAACAGAAACGUGAUUUGGUCUCGUGAUUUGUUUAUUCCUCAUAGACAUUUGUUUCUACAGUCCAACUUGGAGAAUAAACAGGCACAUGGCUGUAAUUUCCACCACAA